Molecule: non-coding RNA, 594 nt
Organism: Mesocricetus auratus (golden hamster)
Lineage: Eukaryota; Metazoa; Chordata; Mammalia; Rodentia; Cricetidae
Source: the annotation of a RefSeq genome assembly
CUUGACUGAUUUGCAUGGACCCCUCCAAUCCAGCCCAGCUCCCAGGAGUUCAUAAACCAGGCCUUGAUAGUGAGAACUGAGAAGCUUUAGACAGGCAGGGGAAGAAAGAUGGAGUCACAGACACAGGUCCUCAUGUGCCUGCUCCUCUGGGUAUCUGGUGUAUGUGCAGAUAUCAUGAUGACCCAGUCUCCAUCCUUUCUGGCUGUGUCAGCAGGAGAGACAAUCUCACUCAGCUGCAAGUCCAGUCAAAGUCUUUUAUCUGGUAGCAUAAACCGCUUGAACUGGUUCCAGCAGAAACCAGGGCAGGCUCCUAAACUGCUGAUCUACCAUGCAUCCACUAGACACACUGGGGUCCCUGAUCGCUUCACAGGCAGCGGAUCUGGGACAGAUUUCACUCUCACCAUCAGCAGCUUCCAGGAUGAAGAUGUGGGAGAUUAUUUCUGUCAGCAGCAUUAUAUUGUUCCGCUCACAGUGUUUCAGUCUCUAACAAAAACCUCUUCUGAGAGUCUCACCAGCUGCUUGCACUACACAAAGCCCUGGAACUCACACUUCCUCCUUUUCCCUGAGAGGUGGAAAACUCUGAAACACUCAUGA